This 319-nucleotide unclassified non-coding RNA is filed under the name plant metagenome. RNAcentral's name for it is "partial contains 5.8S ribosomal RNA, internal transcribed spacer 2, and large subunit ribosomal RNA". The stretch from base 1 to 104 matches the Rfam family "5.8S ribosomal RNA", at positions 51 to 154 of the family's 154-position model. The record is from RNAcentral.
AAAUGCGAUAAGUAAUGUGAAUUGCAGAAUUCAGUGAAUCAUCGAAUCUUUGAACGCACAUUGCGCCCGCCAGUAUUCUGGCUGGCAUGCCUGUUCGAGCGUCAUUACAACCCUCAGGCCCCCGGGCCUGGCGUUGGGGAUCGGCGGAAGCCCCCUGCGGGCACAACGCCGUCCCCCAAAUACAGUGGCGGUCCCGCCGCAGCUUCCAUUGCGUAGUAGCUAACACCUCGCAACUGGAGAGCGGCGCGGCCACGCCGUAAAACACCCAACUUCUGAAUGUUGACCUCGAAUCAGGUAGGAAUACCCGCUGAACUUAAGC